This is a small nucleolar RNA of Cucurbita maxima (winter squash), 112 nucleotides long. RefSeq annotates it as small nucleolar RNA Z152/R70/R12/. The transcript has a single exon. Lineage: Eukaryota; Viridiplantae; Streptophyta; Magnoliopsida; Cucurbitales; Cucurbitaceae. The record is from RefSeq and is a predicted model, not a curated record.
GAAGCAAUGAUGAUGUUAAGCACUUGGACGUGUUGUGGGCAGUGGCCAUAACUUUUGAUCGAGUUAUGCCGUGAGCCUGUAUAUUAAACGACUUCUCCUUCCACUGAGCUUC